CGGGAGGCAGCAGUUAGGAAUCUUCGGCAAUGGGGGAAACCCUGACCGAGCGACACUGCUUGGAGGAUGAAGGUUUUCGGAUCGUAAACUCCUGAACGAGGGACGAAAAAUGACGGUACCUCGCUAAUAGCACCGGCUAACUCCGUGCCAGCAGCCGCGGUAAUACGGAGGGUGCAAGCGUUAUCCGGAAUCACUGGGCGUAAAGGGCGCGUAGGCGGUUUGUUAAGUCCGAUGUUAAAGACCGAGGCUCAACCUCGACACGGCGUUGGAUACUGGCAAGCUGGACGGUUGGAGAGGAAGGUAGAAUUACCAGUGUAGCGGUGGAAUGCGUAGAUACUGGUAGGAAUACCCAUUGCGAAGGCAGCCUUCUGGACAACACGUGACGCUGAGGCGCGAAAGUGUGGGGAGCAAACCGGAUUAGAUACCCGGGUAGUCCACACCCUAAAC
RNAcentral lists this ribosomal RNA (447 nucleotides) under uncultured bacterium. Its description in RNAcentral is "bacterial SSU rRNA". It matches the Rfam family "Bacterial small subunit ribosomal RNA", at positions 342 to 807 of the family's 1533-position model. The record is from RNAcentral.